This 74-nucleotide transfer RNA is filed under the name uncultured Paludibacter sp. RNAcentral describes it as "tRNA-Gln". It matches the Rfam family "tRNA". Rfam says of the family: Transfer RNA (tRNA) molecules are approximately 80 nucleotides in length. Their secondary structure includes four short double-helical elements and three loops (D, anti-codon, and T loops). The record is from RNAcentral. Lineage: Bacteria; Pseudomonadati; Bacteroidota; Bacteroidia; Bacteroidales; Paludibacteraceae.
UGUUCCAUGGUGUAAUGGUAGCACAACAGUCUCUGGAUCUGUUUGUUAAGGUUCGAGUCCUUAUGGAACAACAA